CCUACGGGAGGCAGCAGUGGGGAAUAUUGGGCAAUGGGCGCAAGCCUGACCCAGCAACGCCGCGUGAAGGAAGAAGGCUUUCGGGUUGUAAACUUCUUUUCUGAGGGACGAAGAAAGUGACGGUACCUCAGGAAUAAGCCACGGCUAACUACGUGCCAGCAGCCGCGGUAAUACGUAGGUGGCAAGCGUUAUCCGGAUUUAUUGGGUGUAAAGGGCGUGUAGGCGGGAAAGCAAGCCAGAUGUGAAAAUUCAGGGCUCAACCCUGAGCCUGCAUUUGAAACUGUUUUUCUUGAGGGCUGGAGAGGCAAUCGGAAUCCCCUGUGUAGCGGUGAAAGGCGUAGAGAUACGGAAGAACAC
RNAcentral lists this ribosomal RNA (357 nucleotides) under uncultured bacterium. RNAcentral describes it as "partial 16S ribosomal RNA". It matches the Rfam family "Bacterial small subunit ribosomal RNA", at positions 338 to 709 of the family's 1533-position model. The record is from RNAcentral.